UGGGGAAUAUUGGACAAUGGGCGAAAGCCUGAUCCAGCCAUGCCGCGUGUGUGAAGAAGGUCUUCGGAUUGUAAAGCACUUUAAGUUGGGAGGAAGGGCAGUAAGCGAAUACCUUGCUGUUUUGACGUUACCGACAGAAUAAGCACCGGCUAACUCUGUGCCAGCAGCCGCGGUAAUACAGAGGGUGCAAGCGUUAAUCGGAAUUACUGGGCGUAAAGCGCGCGUAGGUGGUUCGUUAAGUUGCAUGUGAAAGCCCCGGGCUCAACCUUGGACCUGCCUCCCAAACUGGCGAGCUCGAGUAGUGCAGAGGGUGGUGGAAUUUCCUGUGUAGCGGUGAAAUGCGUAGAUAUAGGAAGGAACACCAGUGGCGAAGGCGACCACCUGGGCUCAUACUGACACUGAGGUGCGAAAGCGUGGGGAGCAAACAGG
RNAcentral lists this ribosomal RNA (429 nucleotides) under Pseudomonadota bacterium. Its description in RNAcentral is "Proteobacteria bacterium partial 16S ribosomal RNA". It matches the Rfam family "Bacterial small subunit ribosomal RNA", at positions 355 to 776 of the family's 1533-position model. The record is from RNAcentral. Lineage: Bacteria; Pseudomonadati; Pseudomonadota.